AAACUCUAGUUUCCUUGCCCAGCAGAUUUCAAGGUGGCGCUGAGUGGCUGUAAAAGGAGGAAAUGUGAAAUGGAAAUGGACCUCAAUGCUUUUGUGUCACAUGGGCUGGUUUCAAAAAAAA
This 121-nucleotide small nucleolar RNA is filed under the name Echinops telfairi (small Madagascar hedgehog). RNAcentral describes it as "Small nucleolar RNA SNORA61 (ENSETEG00000026444.1)". Lineage: Eukaryota; Metazoa; Chordata; Mammalia; Afrosoricida; Tenrecidae. The record is from RNAcentral.